RNAcentral lists this ribosomal RNA (1462 nucleotides) under Lactiplantibacillus plantarum. Its description in RNAcentral is "bacterial SSU rRNA". It matches the Rfam family "Bacterial small subunit ribosomal RNA". Lineage: Bacteria; Bacillati; Bacillota; Bacilli; Lactobacillales; Lactobacillaceae. The record is from RNAcentral.
UGGGAGCCCUAUUACAUGCCAGUCGACGAACUCUGGUAUUGAUUGGUGCUUGCAUCAUGAUUUACAUUUGAGUGAGUGGCGAACUGGUGAGUAACACGUGGGAAACCUGCCCAGAAGCGGGGGAUAACACCUGGAAACAGAUGCUAAUACCGCAUAACAACUUGGACCGCAUGGUCCGAGCUUGAAAGAUGGCUUCGGCUAUCACUUUUGGAUGGUCCCGCGGCGUAUUAGCUAGAUGGUGGGGUAACGGCUCACCAUGGCAAUGAUACGUAGCCGACCUGAGAGGGUAAUCGGCCACAUUGGGACUGAGACACGGCCCAAACUCCUACGGGAGGCAGCAGUAGGGAAUCUUCCACAAUGGACGAAAGUCUGAUGGAGCAACGCCGCGUGAGUGAAGAAGGGUUUCGGCUCGUAAAACUCUGUUGUUAAAGAAGAACAUAUCUGAGAGUAACUGUUCAGGUAUUGACGGUAUUUAACCAGAAAGCCACGGCUAACUACGUGCCAGCAGCCGCGGUAAUACGUAGGUGGCAAGCGUUGUCCGGAUUUAUUGGGCGUAAAGCGAGCGCAGGCGGUUUUUUAAGUCUGAUGUGAAAGCCUUCGGCUCAACCGAAGAAGUGCAUCGGAAACUGGGAAACUUGAGUGCAGAAGAGGACAGUGGAACUCCAUGUGUAGCGGUGAAAUGCGUAGAUAUAUGGAAGAACACCAGUGGCGAAGGCGGCUGUCUGGUCUGUAACUGACGCUGAGGCUCGAAAGUAUGGGUAGCAAACAGGAUUAGAUACCCUGGUAGUCCAUACCGUAAACGAUGAAUGCUAAGUGUUGGAGGGUUUCCGCCCUUCAGUGCUGCAGCUAACGCAUUAAGCAUUCCGCCUGGGGAGUACGGCCGCAAGGCUGAAACUCAAAGGAAUUGACGGGGGCCCGCACAAGCGGUGGAGCAUGUGGUUUAAUUCGAAGCUACGCGAAGAACCUUACCAGGUCUUGACAUACUAUGCAAAUCUAAGAGAUUAGACGUUCCCUUCGGGGACAUGGAUACAGGUGGUGCAUGGUUGUCGUCAGCUCGUGUCGUGAGAUGUUGGGUUAAGUCCCGCAACGAGCGCAACCCUUAUUAUCAGUUGCCAGCAUUAAGUUGGGCACUCUGGUGAGACUGCCGGUGACAAACCGGAGGAAGGUGGGGAUGACGUCAAAUCAUCAUGCCCCUUAUGACCUGGGCUACACACGUGCUACAAUGGAUGGUACAACGAGUUGCGAACUCGCGAGAGUAAGCUAAUCUCUUAAAGCCAUUCUCAGUUCGGAUUGUAGGCUGCAACUCGCCUACAUGAAGUCGGAAUCGCUAGUAAUCGCGGAUCAGCAUGCCGCGGUGAAUACGUUCCCGGGCCUUGUACACACCGCCCGUCACACCAUGAGAGUUUGUAACACCCAAAGUCGGUGGGGUAACCUCUAGGAACCAGCCCGCGUAAGGUGAACA